UGGGGAAUAUUGUACAAUGGAGGGAACCCUGAUGCAGCGACGCCGCGUGAACGAAGACGGCUUUCGAGUCGUAAAGUUCUUUUAUAUGGGAAGAUAAUGACGGUACCAUAAGAAGAAGCACCGGCUAACUACGUGCCAGCAGCCGAGGUAAUACGUAGGGGGCUAGCGUUGUCCGGAAUCACUGGGCGUAAAGGGUUCGCAGGCGGAAAUGCAAGUCAGGUGUAAAAGGCAGUAGCUUAACUACUGUAAGCAUUUGAAACUGCAUAUCUUGAGAGGAGUAGAGGUAAGUGGAAUUUUUAGUGUAGCGGUGAAAUGCGUAGAUAUUAAACAGAAUAGCGGUGGCGAAGGCAACUUACUGGGCUCAUUCUGACGCUGAGGAACGAAAGCGUGGGUAGCAAACAGG
RNAcentral lists this ribosomal RNA (403 nucleotides) under bacterium. Its description in RNAcentral is "partial 16S ribosomal RNA". It matches the Rfam family "Bacterial small subunit ribosomal RNA", at positions 355 to 776 of the family's 1533-position model. The record is from RNAcentral.